This 2304-nucleotide ribosomal RNA is filed under the name Citrobacter sp. Cpo091. RNAcentral describes it as "partial 23S ribosomal RNA". It matches the Rfam family "Bacterial large subunit ribosomal RNA", at positions 644 to 2925 of the family's 2925-position model. The record is from RNAcentral. Lineage: Bacteria; Pseudomonadati; Pseudomonadota; Gammaproteobacteria; Enterobacterales; Enterobacteriaceae.
GGUUAACCGAAUAGGGGAGCCGAAGGGAAACCGAGUCUUAACUGGGCGUUAAGUUGCAGGGUAUAGACCCGAAACCCGGUGAUCUAGCCAUGGGCAGGUUGAAGGUUGGGUAACACUAACUGGAGGACCGAACCGACUAAUGUUGAAAAAUUAGCGGAUGACUUGUGGCUGGGGGUGAAAGGCCAAUCAAACCGGGAGAUAGCUGGUUCUCCCCGAAAGCUAUUUAGGUAGCGCCUCGUGAACUCAUCUUCGGGGGUAGAGCACUGUUUCGGCUAGGGGGUCAUCCCGACUUACCAACCCGAUGCAAACUGCGAAUACCGAAGAAUGUUAUCACGGGAGACACACGGCGGGUGCUAACGUCCGUCGUGAAGAGGGAAACAACCCAGACCGCCAGCUAAGGUCCCAAAGUCAUGGUUAAGUGGGAAACGAUGUGGGAAGGCACAGACAGCCAGGAUGUUGGCUUAGAAGCAGCCAUCAUUUAAAGAAAGCGUAAUAGCUCACUGGUCGAGUCGGCCUGCGCGGAAGAUGUAACGGGGCUAAACCAUGCACCGAAGCUGCGGCAGCGACACUAUGUGUUGUUGGGUAGGGGAGCGUUCUGUAAGCCGUUGAAGGUGUGUCGUGAGGCAUGCUGGAGGUAUCAGAAGUGCGAAUGCUGACAUAAGUAACGAUAAUGCGGGUGAAAAACCCGCACGCCGGAAGACCAAGGGUUCCUGUCCAACGUUAAUCGGGGCAGGGUGAGUCGACCCCUAAGGCGAGGCCGAAAGGCGUAGUCGAUGGGAAACAGGUUAAUAUUCCUGUACUUGGUGUUACUGCGAAGGGGGGACGGAGAAGGCUAUGUUAGCCGGGCGACGGUUGUCCCGGUUUAAGCAUGUAGGCGGAGGUUCCAGGUAAAUCCGGUACCUUUUAACGCUGAGGUGUGAUGACGAGGCACUACGGUGCUGAAGUAACAAAUGCCCUGCUUCCAGGAAAAGCCUCUAAGCAUCAGGUAACACGAAAUCGUACCCCAAACCGACACAGGUGGUCAGGUAGAGAAUACCAAGGCGCUUGAGAGAACUCGGGUGAAGGAACUAGGCAAAAUGGUGCCGUAACUUCGGGAGAAGGCACGCUGAUAUGUAGGUGAAGUGAUUUACUCAUGGAGCUGAAAUCAGUCGAAGAUACCAGCUGGCUGCAACUGUUUAUUAAAAACACAGCACUGUGCAAACACGAAAGUGGACGUAUACGGUGUGACGCCUGCCCGGUGCCGGAAGGUUAAUUGAUGGGGUUAUCCGUAAGGAGAAGCUCUUGAUCGAAGCCCCGGUAAACGGCGGCCGUAACUAUAACGGUCCUAAGGUAGCGAAAUUCCUUGUCGGGUAAGUUCCGACCUGCACGAAUGGCGUAAUGAUGGCCAGGCUGUCUCCACCCGAGACUCAGUGAAAUUGAACUCGCUGUGAAGAUGCAGUGUACCCGCGGCAAGACGGAAAGACCCCGUGAACCUUUACUAUAGCUUGACACUGAACACUGGUCCUUGAUGUGUAGGAUAGGUGGGAGGCUUUGAAGUGUGGACGCCAGUCUGCAUGGAGCCAUCCUUGAAAUACCACCCUUUAAUGGCUGGUGUUCUAACGUAGACCCGUAAUCCGGGUUGCGGACAGUGUCUGGUGGGUAGUUUGACUGGGGCGGUCUCCUCCUAAAGAGUAACGGAGGAGCACGAAGGUUAGCUAAUCCUGGUCGGACAUCAGGAGGUUAGUGCAAAGGCAUAAGCUAGCUUGACUGCGAGAGUGACGGCUCGAGCAGGUGCGAAAGCAGGUCUUAGUGAUCCGGUGGUUCUGAAUGGAAGGGCCAUCGCUCAACGGAUAAAAGGUACUCCGGGGAUAACAGGCUGAUACCGCCCAAGAGUUCAUAUCGACGGCGGUGUUUGGCACCUCGAUGUCGGCUCAUCACAUCCUGGGGCUGAAGUAGGUCCCAAGGGUAUGGCUGUUCGCCAUUUAAAGUGGUACGCGAGCUGGGUUUAGAACGUCGUGAGACAGUUCGGUCCCUAUCUGCCGUGGGCGCUGGAGAAUUGAGGGGGGCUGCUCCUAGUACGAGAGGACCGGAGUGGACGCAUCACUGGUGUUCGGGUUGUCAUGCCAAUGGCAUUGCCCGGUAGCUAAAUGCGGAAGAGAUAAGUGCUGAAAGCAUCUAAGCACGAAACUUGCCCCGAGAUGAGUUCUCCCUGACCCUUUAAGGGUCCUGAAGGAACGUUGAAGACGACGACGUUGAUAGGUCGGGUGUGUAAGUGUAGCGAUACAUUGAGCUAACCGAUACUAAUGAACCGUGAGGCUUAACCUU